GCUCCGAAAGAAAAUUUGAGUAAAAUCGGGCCGGUCGUUAUUAAAUUUUGCUUAUACACACCUACAUCAUAUGAUAUGCGUAGAAUGGCUGCAAAAGUUAAUCAUUGCUGCAUACCAUACAUAAUCGCAUCAAUCCGUGAUUAUACCAAUUGUCACAGUAUGCGGUUUAUUAUUGCCUUGUUAUUAUUAACAUCAUCUUACGUAUCUCCUUUAAAUAAUGGACUGGCGCUUACACCUCCAAUGGGCUGGUUGUCAUGGGAAAGGUUCCGAUGUAACACUGAUUGCGAAAAUGAUCCGGAAAAUUGCAUCAGCGAGCACUUGUUUAAAACCAUGGCAGAUCUUCUUAUAACUGAUGGUUAUGCAUCUGUCGGAUACGAAUAUAUUAAUAUUGACGAUUGCUGGUUAGAGAAAAAAAGGUCUUUAAAUGGCCACCUGGUGCCUGAUAAAUUGAGAUUUCCUAGUGGUAUGAAAUCUCUUGCAAACUAUGUUCAUUCCAGGGGUCUUAAAUUUGGCAUAUAUGAAGAUUUUGGAAAUUACACAUGCGCCGGGUAUCCAGGUAUAAUAGGACACCAAAUAUCAGACGCCAAUCAGUUUGCGGAAUGGGGCGUUGAUUAUGUUAAGCUCGAUGGAUGUUACGCAUUUCCAGAAGAUAUGGACAAAGGAUAUAGCGAUUUUCAGACAGUAUUGAAUAAUACAGGGAGACCAAUGGUUUUUUCAUGUAGUUGGCCCGUUUAUCAAAUAUACGCUGGUAUUCAGCCCAACUUUAGCAAGGUAAUGGAACAUUGUAAUAUGUGGAGAAAUUUUGAUGAUGUUCAAGAUUCGUGGGCAUCUGUAGAGAGUAUAAUCGAUUAUUAUGGAGAUAACCAGGAUCAUAUUGCACAAUUUGCUGGCCCAGGACAUUGGAACGAUCCGGAUAUGUUGAUAAUUGGUAACUUUGGCCUCAGUUAUGAUCAAGCCAAAACUCAGUUUGCUAUUUGGUCUAUAAUGGCAGCACCUCUGUUGAUGUCAGUUGAUUUACGAACGAUACGUCCGGAAUUCAAGGCUAUCUUGCAGAACAGAAAGAUUAUUUCCGUAGAUCAAGAUCCAUUGGGCAUUCAAGGACGGAGGAUAUACAAGCAUAAAGGAAUUGAAAUAUGGUCCAAACCAAUUACACCUACACAGGAUCUGCAUUACUCUUAUGCAAUAGCGUUCGUAAAUAGAAGAACCGAUGGUACUCCGUCAGAUAUUGCUGUUACGCUCAAGGAAUUAGGAUUAGUAUCAACACACGGUUACCGAGUUCAAUUCGCGUACCAAGGCUGCUGGCUAUAAAAGGCCUGACGUGGACAUACGACGUGGACAUACAUAGGCAUUGUUUGUCUUAAGCCAUUACCAUAUUCAAAUUCGAAACGGUGAAUAAUGUAGCUAAAAUCAUCAAAAUAUCGUAUAUAAGGAGGUGCCGUUAAAUUGGAGCUGUGCGAAGACCUGGACCAGCAUAGACAAUUUUCUGUCACAGGCUGUAGCAUCCAUUACGAACUUCAAAUACCACAUCUCAAACAAUUUCGGAUUUAUAUGAAAACGUCGAUUACGGAGUUCUCCAUUCCAAUACCAAAAUAAAAGUGAAGGUUAAUCCAUCCGGUGUUGUGAUGUUAAGGGCUGAAGUUCACAAUCA
RNA transcript from Musca domestica (house fly), 1648 nucleotides. It is a transcript of the gene named alpha-N-acetylgalactosaminidase, with no coding region annotated. Lineage: Eukaryota; Metazoa; Arthropoda; Insecta; Diptera; Muscidae. The record is from RefSeq and is a predicted model, not a curated record. The transcript has 7 exons.